This is a long non-coding RNA of Orbicella faveolata, 1441 nucleotides long. The record is from RefSeq and is a predicted model, not a curated record. Lineage: Eukaryota; Metazoa; Cnidaria; Anthozoa; Scleractinia; Merulinidae.
AUAACUGUCUCGAAUUCUCCCAACCCUCCUCGUGUUUAGAGGAGGUUGGGAGAAGAAAAAGAAAACAAGUCCCGCUAUUGCUGAAAUAGAAACGCUCGUGAACUUGGAAUACAUAAAAGCUCUUAAACAAGCAUUCUUUUGGUCAUUCUCGUUAACUUCCAAUCGUGUUUCUCUGACUAGAACUCGAUAGAGAAACGGAAAACGUUUUCUGUUGUUAAGAGCAAAGGAAAUUAAGUUAACUUGGCAGAAAAAAUUAACUUAACUUACCAACUGAAUCUUCGUUUAAGAAUAUUUGAAAUUUUCAAACGAACAUUUGGUUUACAAUGUUGCAUCAGACGCAUUGACAGCAUAGAAGAGGAGUGUGUCUGCUCUUUGAUUUAAGUAUAACAUUAACUGAAAACAUUGGUGUCUCCUUUGCGCUUUGAAAUGUGGACGUUUCUGACGGGAAGAUCGCGGGAAAAAUUUACAUUACAAAAAUGUCCCAACAUACGGGCUUUCUAUAUUUGCUAAUUAUUCAUCGCGGGUUCAGUUGUCCACCAUGUUUGUCGGUUCCUUGAUGCUGCUUCAUUAUCUGCAAAGAAAUGGUGAAAAGAUUUGCUGGAUUACUUAUUUACUAGUACAAGACGAACGAUACGCUUCGACAGCCAGGCGCUGAAUGGACCAAAGCAAUGAUACAUUCAACACAGACGGGAGAAAUUUGGACAAACAAGGUACACGUGUUAAAGUUUUGCUUAAGACAUCGCGGAGUUGGAGCUGCUUUUUUGAGUUACUGUGUAAUCCUGGGAUGGUUUUAGUUAAGGUAAAUGACUGCUGUGUUUCCUUCGUUCUCUAAAGAAGCCUGAAAUAGAUGGGUUAUCCUUUCUUCAACUUGCGGUACAUGGAACCUUAGCCUUUGUAGGGGUAAUUUCUCCAGUGGACUAACGAAUGCGCUAGCUAAAAAGGCUUUACAAUUCUUAGUUUAUCUUUAUGUUAAGCCAUCUAAGUGUUGAAUUAUUAUUUUAUUUGUAACAUUUUAGGUUUUGUAAAACAGAGGGAAAGACGGGUUUCAUCAAAACGAAGCUCUGACUUUACAAAUUGAACUGUACUGAUUUAAUGGGAAAUACUUGAGGGUUAUCGAUGAUGGCAUUCUCUCUGGGAGCGGUUCAAGGCAAUAAGAAACCAUGAUGUUAUGGACGCACGGAUCGGUGAAUAACUCUGGUUGUUAAGGACGAAAGACAUUAAUCGUGCUAGGAAGCAACAAAGGAGCUCUACAGUCAAGCAAACAAACUUCGGCGAAUGAAGUUCCAUCCGUGCAAGAUGUUGAAUGAAUAAAGUUAAAGUUUGAGCAACAUUUUGGCGAAAAUCAUAACUGCACUUUUGCAAGUGGCCUUUCGAGCGAAAGAAAAAAACUAAGUCUUUUGGCGGGAAGAAUAACUGCGUUUUUGAAAGAAACUUUUCGAGC